This 253-nucleotide ribosomal RNA is filed under the name uncultured bacterium. Its description in RNAcentral is "partial 16S ribosomal RNA". It matches the Rfam family "Bacterial small subunit ribosomal RNA", at positions 524 to 776 of the family's 1533-position model. The record is from RNAcentral.
UACGGGGGGGGCAAGCGUUGUUCGGAAUUACUGGGCGUAAAGGGCUCGUAGGCGGCCAACUAAGUCAGACGUGAAAUCCCUCGGCUUAACCGGGGAACUGCAUCUGAUACUGGAUGGCUUGAGAUUGGGAGAGGGAUGCGGAAUUCCAGGUGUAGCGGUGAAAUGCGUAGAUAUCUGGAGGAACACCGGUGGCGAAGGCGGGAUCCUGGGCCAGUACUGACGCUGAGGAGCGAAAGCGUGGGGAGCAAACAGG